RNAcentral lists this ribosomal RNA (510 nucleotides) under uncultured bacterium. RNAcentral's name for it is "partial 16S ribosomal RNA". It matches the Rfam family "Bacterial small subunit ribosomal RNA", at positions 28 to 507 of the family's 1533-position model. The record is from RNAcentral.
GACGAACGCUGGCGGCGUGCUUAACACAUGCAAGUCGAACGAAGAGCGAUGGAAGCUUGCUUCUAUCAAUCUUAGUGGCGAACGGGUGAGUAACGCGUAAUCAACCUGCCCUUCAGAGGGGGACAACAGUUGGAAACGAAUGCUAAUACCGCAUACGAUCUAAUCUCGGCAUCGAGGAUAGAUGAAAGGUGGCCUCUACAUGUAAGCUAUCACUGAAGGAGGGGAUUGCGUCUGAUUAGCUAGUUGGAGGGGUAACGGCCCACCAAGGCGAUGAUCAGUAGCCGGUCUGAGAGGAUGAACGGCCACAUUGGGACUGAGACACGGCCCAGACUCCUACGGGAGGCAGCAGUGGGGAAUCUUCCGAAAUGGACGAAAGUCUGACGGAGCAACGCCGCGUGAGUGAUGACGGCCUUCGGGUUGUAAAGCUCUGUUAAUCGGGACGAAAGGCCUUCUUGCGAAUAGUGAGAAGGAUUGACGGUACCGGAAUAGAAAGCCACGGCUAACUACGUG